This 497-nucleotide ribosomal RNA is filed under the name uncultured bacterium. RNAcentral describes it as "partial 16S ribosomal RNA". It matches the Rfam family "Bacterial small subunit ribosomal RNA", at positions 28 to 507 of the family's 1533-position model. The record is from RNAcentral.
GAUGAACGCUGGCGGCGUGCCUAAUACAUGCAAGUCGAGCGAACAGACGAGGAGCUUGCUCCUCUGACGUUAGCGGCGGACGGGUGAGUAACACGUGUAUAACCUACCUAUAAGACUGGGAUAACUUCGUGAAACCGGAGCUAAUACCGGAUAAUAUAUUCAACCGCAUGGUUCAAUAGUGAAAGACGGUUUUGCUUUCACUUAUAGAUGGAUCCGCGCCGCAUUAGCUAGUUGGUAAGGUAACGGCUUACCAAGGCAACGAUCCGUAGCCGACCUGAGAGGGUGAACCGCCCCACUGGAACUUAGACACGGGCCAAACUCCCACGGGGGGGAGCAGUGGGGAAUAUUGCAGAAUGGGGGCAAGGCUUAGGGGGCCAACGCGGGGGUAGGAAGAAGGGCUUUGGGUUGGAAAAACCUUUCUGUUGGGGAAAAAAAAAUGUGGUAAAUACUUUGCCCCAUUGAAGUGACCCUAAGAAGAAGCCCCGGCUAAACCCGGG